UAUAAGACUGGGAUAACUUCGGGAAACCGGAGCUAAUACCGGAUAACAUUUAGAACCGCAUGGUUCUAAAGUGAAAGAUGGUUUUGCUAUCACUUAUAGAUGGACCCGCGCCGUAUUAGCUAGUUGGUAAGGUAACGGCUUACCAAGGCGACGAUACGUAGCCGACCUGAGAGGGUGAUCGGCCACACUGGAACUGAGACACGGUCCAGACUCCUACGGGAGGCAGCAGUAGGGAAUCUUCCGCAAUGGGCGAAAGCCUGACGGAGCAACGCCGCGUGAGUGAUGAAGGGUUUCGGCUCGUAAAACUCUGUUAUUAGGGAAGAACAAAUGUGUAAGUAACUGUGCACAUCUUGACGGUACCUAAUCAGAAAGCCACGGCUAACUACGUGCCAGCAGCCGCGGUAAUACGUAGGUGGCAAGCGUUAUCCGGAAUUAUUGGGCGUAAAGCGCGCGUAGGCGGUUUCUUAAGUCUGAUGUGAAAGCCCACGGCUCAACCGUGGAGGGUCAUUGGAAACUGGGAAACUUGAGUGCAGAAGAGGAAAGUGGAAUUCCAUGUGUAGCGGUGAAAUGCGCAGAGAUAUGGAGGAACACCAGUGGCGAAGGCGACUUUCUGGUCUGUAACUGACGCUGAUGUGCGAAAGCGUGGGGAUCAAACAGGAUUAGAUACCCUGGUAGUCCACGCCGUAAACGAUGAGUGCUAAGUGUUAGGGGGUUUCCGCCCCUUAGUGCUGCAGCUAACGCAUUAAGCACUCCGCCUGGGGAGUACGACCGCAAGGUUGAAACUCAAG
This 788-nucleotide ribosomal RNA is filed under the name uncultured Staphylococcus sp. Its description in RNAcentral is "bacterial SSU rRNA". It matches the Rfam family "Bacterial small subunit ribosomal RNA", at positions 131 to 905 of the family's 1533-position model. The record is from RNAcentral. Lineage: Bacteria; Bacillati; Bacillota; Bacilli; Caryophanales; Staphylococcaceae.